This 1164-nucleotide non-coding RNA is filed under the name Ixodes scapularis (black-legged tick). RNAcentral's name for it is "Eukaryotic large subunit ribosomal RNA". It matches the Rfam family "Eukaryotic large subunit ribosomal RNA", at positions 1675 to 2282 of the family's 3401-position model. Lineage: Eukaryota; Metazoa; Arthropoda; Arachnida; Ixodida; Ixodidae. The record is from Rfam by way of RNAcentral.
CGGCCAAGCGUUCCCGUUAAACUUUGCCGGGCAUCAGAUGCCUUUAUUUCCAGACAGCGUGCUCAAAGCCGUGCAGAAGUGUUCGGGUGAAGACAAACAGAAGCAGCUCCAGCAACUGCUGGAACCUUUCUCACCGAUGUUCACAGAAAGACCUGGGAAAACCGAUCUCCUACAGCACCGCAUUGAAACCAAGGAUGCACCUCCACGGAGGUGCAAUCUGAGACCCAUAAGUGCUCACAAGCGCGAACUUCUUGAUGCGGCGCUAUUGGAAAUGAUCGACACAGGCGCAGUACGUCAGUCAAAAAGCCCGUGGGCUUCCCCGGUGGUCCUUGCUCCAAAGAAGGAUGGCACAGCAAGGCUUUGUGUUGAUUACAGCCGCCUAAAUCUGAGUGAGGGAGUGCGAUUUUCGUGCCGGACCGUACCCACAUCCGCAGCAGUUUUCCAAUGUGAACAGCCUCUAGUCGAUGGAAGGGAAGUCGGCAAAACGGAUCCGUAACCUUGGGAUAAGGAUUCGCUCUGACGACUGAGCAGGUCGGGCUGGGGACCUGAAGCAGGAACGGCACUGCACCGGGACUGGGCGGGGCUCGCCGUUCACGCGGCGCGGCCAAGCCCGGACCAGCGUCGGGACCUUCCUGUGGAAAGCCACAGCUGCGCGGCGUCUGAGGGUGUGCUAUGCUUCGGCCGGCACAAAACAGUCAACUCAGAACUGGCACGGACCGGGGGAAUCCGACUGUCUAAUUAAAACAAAGCUUUGCGAUGGCCGCUGGUUGGUGUUGACGCAAUGUGAUUUCUGCCCAGUGCUCUUAAUGUCAACCUGAAGAGAUUCAUCAAAGCGCGGGUAAACGGCGGGAGUAACUAUGACUCUCGGGAUGGGGGUAUCUUGUGUGAUUGGCUGAGUUUUGCUCAGACUAAUAGUUGCUGGGGGGUCGGUGCGCGAUUCUAAAAUCCAGGCAGGAAACUUUUCAGGAGUCCCGGGAAACACUCUGACCCCUCACGGUUCGUGCGCCUCCCCGCGGCGCCCGCUCGAAACGUGUCUGCCUGGAACCGGCUAAGUCAUGAACCGAAUCGAUCGUAAUGGAUCGCCAGUUGGUGAAAGCGUAAGCACUAGCUGUGUCAACCCUGCUACCGCUGUGGCGGGGGGUCUGACUGUACAAUGCCGCGGAG